Non-coding RNA from Cyanistes caeruleus (blue tit), 495 nucleotides. The record is from RefSeq and is a predicted model, not a curated record. Lineage: Eukaryota; Metazoa; Chordata; Aves; Passeriformes; Paridae.
AGAGUGGAGCUGAAACAAUGGGCUCUGGGAGAGCAGUUGCAGAUGGGAAAGGAGCAGGUGGAGCCUCUUGUUUCCUUUUUGCUCCAGGUUCAACUCCUGAUAGCCAAAGGAGGGACCCCACAGCUGCGGCAGCCCAAACUCCUCUCAGCUUUGCUGCGUGACUUCCUGAGCUGCUGCCUGCAGACAGACGAGGCACAGUGCUGGUCUGCUGAGGAGCUCCUGCAGCAUCAAUUUGUAACAUUGGCCAAGCCUGGCUCCAGCCUAGUGCCACUCAUCCUUUCAGUGAAACAGUGGAAGGAGAGAAGGAUAAUGUUCUAAUCAAUUUAGAACAGUUUUCGCCGUGGCAAUCUUAGAAUAGAAUUGUAGAGUAGGAAUUUAGAGAAGGAUUGUAGAGUAGGAGUGUAGAGUAGGAUUGUAGAGUAGGAAUGUAGAUAAGGAUUGUAGAGCAGGAUUAUAGAGUAGGAUUUUAAAUCAAUAAAGAUUAUGACACCUCAA